This 548-nucleotide ribosomal RNA is filed under the name Giardia duodenalis. Its description in RNAcentral is "SSU rRNA". It matches the Rfam family "Eukaryotic small subunit ribosomal RNA", at positions 419 to 1144 of the family's 1831-position model. Lineage: Eukaryota; Fornicata; Diplomonadida; Hexamitidae. The record is from RNAcentral.
AGGACGGCAGCAGGCGCGGAACUUGCCCAAUGCGCGGCGCGCGAGGCAGCGACGGGGAGCGCGCGAGCGAGGCGGGCCCACAGCCCCCGCCGCGGAGCCGAGGGCAAGGUCUGGUGCCAGCAGCCGCGGUAAUUCCAGCUCGGCGAGCGUCGCGCGGCGCUGCUGCAGUUGAAACGCCCGUAGUUGGCCCCCCGCCGCCACGAGGAAACGGGAGCGCUCCAGGCAGGCCCGUUGGACCCGCCGCGUGGGACCGCGCAGCGGGCGCGGCGCGCCGCGGCAGCCCCGAGGAGAGCGGGCGGGGGCACCGGUACCGGCCGGGGACGGGUGAAACAGGAUGAUCCCGCCGAGACCGCCGGCCGCGCAGGCGCCUGCCAAGACCGCCUCAGUCAAUCAAGGGCGAAGGCCGGGGGCUAGAAGGCGAUCAGACACCACCGUAUUCCCGGCCGUAAACGGUGCCGCCCCGCGGCCGGCGCGCGCGUCCCGCCGGCCGCCCAGGGAAACCGGGAGGCUCCGGGCACUGGGGGGAGUAUGGCCGCAAGGCUGAAACA